ACACAGGUUAUUCAGACAGGUAGACAUUGUUGAGAGUCAGGUUUGAGUAUAGGACUAAACCCAUGCUUCUGAUUUUCCUGCCCAGGUAGGAGGAGGCUUCAGUACUGGCAAGAAAAUGGCUUUAUUACCAGCCCCAUGUUAUAUGAAUUCUGAAUUUUUCUCUUUGCUUUCCAAGACAUUGGCUUCUCUGUUGCUUUGUUUGAGUCAGUUUAGUUUAAUUUUUCAUUAUGACAGAUUUUCGCCUCCAAUUCUUUAUUUAGAGCAUAGCUCUCAAACUUGUUCAUUCUGUAAUCCCUUUGAGGGUUUGCACAGCCCUCAAACAUACCUUGAAACAGUUUGCUACCAAAAUAAAAGCACGGAAGAAUCAUGUGGCUGUUGAGAUGAAAAAAAAAACCACACAGGUAAUAUUUUUUAUUUCGAAGGAAAGCAGUAGGCUCUGAGUGCAGAGGAGGAAAGGGGACAGAAAGGGGAGAAAAGGCAUGGUGGUCAGGGCUCUUGGUCUCAUAGCUAGAGAAAAUCAUCAGAAGGUAUUUGUAUAAAUCCAAAGGCUCCCCGGCCAAGCAGAUGUUCAGAGUAUCAUAGCUCCGGGCUUGGAGUUCUUUCGGAUUGUCCCUGGGGAAACGCUACAUCGUCUGAGAAAUAAGAACAGUGAUGUGGAAGGAGCAACUCGUUCUUCUUUGUGCGCAUUCUCUGCUUUUCUUUCUCCUCUGCCCCAAUCCUCUCCUCGCUCCUCUCUCUGGAUUGCCCCCAUAGGCCUCCUUGCCACUUGCCCACUCCUUCGGAAGAGAUCUGAGGCUCUCGUCCAUUUCUUUGUGAUUCCUGAAGCCUUCGUGGACUUUUGCCUUCCAACCUGGGCUUGUUAUCUCUUACUGGUUAGCAGGGAUUGGCGUCCAGUAAAUCCCAGCAGCCGUUCUCUUUAGCCUGUUCAUCGUAUUUGUACGUGGUUUUCCUGAGUUGAUAAACCCGCGGCUGUUUUUCUCUUCAAGUUCCCCCUUCAGUUUCUGUGCUAAUGAACAACUUCCUGCCUUGAGGCUCUGGUAAGUGCAAUGAAGGCACCGGGAGUGCAGAGUUUAGCCAGGGCCUUACGAGACCUUAACCCAGCAUUGUGUGCCCGUUGGGUGACUCUCCUUUUUGGACUUGGACGAAAGACUUAUUAAUACUUAAGAGUAUCAGCUUUUUCCUCAUAUGAAGACUGUAUAGCCACAGGAGGCUCAGCUGCCAUCAAGGUUGGCAGUUGUUCCUUCCAAAGUCCUCUCUGAUGCCUGAUUCUCAUUGGGCCAACCCUACGACUGCUCGCUUUGUGACACAGCACUAAGAAUUCUGUCUGUGCAUUCUCCUCAGUCUCCUAGUCUAACAAUAGCAGACUCAGUGAAUAUCUUGUAACAGAAAAUGUUAAACUAAUUUCCACAGUGGCUUCAUGUGUUCAAAUCCCCAUCAACUGCGAACCAUCUAGCUUCGUGAGUUUUGCUGUCAACAACUAGAGGUACCCUAAGAAGCAAGAAGUUCAGCUAUAUGGUGGAUCAAGACAAUUAUUAAACUCAGGAAAGAAUGAAAU
This 1555-nucleotide small RNA is filed under the name Rattus norvegicus (Norway rat). Its description in RNAcentral is "uncharacterized LOC102553276". The record is from RNAcentral. Lineage: Eukaryota; Metazoa; Chordata; Mammalia; Rodentia; Muridae.